RNAcentral lists this ribosomal RNA (253 nucleotides) under uncultured bacterium. RNAcentral describes it as "partial 16S ribosomal RNA". It matches the Rfam family "Bacterial small subunit ribosomal RNA", at positions 524 to 776 of the family's 1533-position model. RNAcentral also lists the same sequence under 1 other name. The record is from RNAcentral.
UACGUAGGGUGCGAGCGUUAAUCGGAAUUACUGGGCGUAAAGCGUGCGCAGGCGGUUUGUUAAGACAGAUGUGAAAUCCCCGGGCUUAACCUGGGAACUGCAUUUGUGACUGGCAAGCUAGAGUAUGGCAGAGGGGGGUAGAAUUCCACGUGUAGCAGUGAAAUGCGUAGAGAUGUGGAGGAAUACCGAUGGCGAAGGCAGCCCCCUGGGCCAAUACUGACGCUCAUGCACGAAAGCGUGGGGAGCAAACAGG